GCACAAGCGGUGGAUGAUGUGGAUUAAUUCGAUGCAGCGCGAAAACCUUACCUACCCUUGACAUGUCCGGAAUCCCGAAGAGAUUUGGGAGUGCUCGCAAGAGAACCGGAACACAGGUGCUGCAUGGCCGUCGUCAGCUCGUGUCGUGAGAUGUUGGGUUAAGUCCCGCAACGAGCGCAACCCUUGUCAUUAGUUGCCAUCAUUUGGUUGGGCACUCUAAUGAGACUGCCGGUGACAAACCGGAGGAAGGUGGGGAUGACGUCAAGUCCUCAUGGCCCUUAUGGGUAGGGCUUCACACGUCAUACAAUGGUCGGUACAGAGGGUUGCCAACCCGCGAGGGGGAGCUAAUCCCACAAAGCCGAUCGUAGUCCGGAUCGCAGUCUGCAACUCGACUGCGUGAAGUCGGAAUCGCUAGUAAUCGUGGAUCAGCAUGUCACGGUGAAUACGUUCCCGGGUCUU
RNAcentral lists this ribosomal RNA (459 nucleotides) under uncultured Rhodocyclaceae bacterium. Its description in RNAcentral is "bacterial SSU rRNA". It matches the Rfam family "Bacterial small subunit ribosomal RNA", at positions 923 to 1382 of the family's 1533-position model. The record is from RNAcentral. Lineage: Bacteria; Pseudomonadati; Pseudomonadota; Betaproteobacteria; Rhodocyclales; Rhodocyclaceae.